RNAcentral lists this ribosomal RNA (455 nucleotides) under Neisseria mucosa. Its description in RNAcentral is "bacterial SSU rRNA". It matches the Rfam family "Bacterial small subunit ribosomal RNA", at positions 30 to 485 of the family's 1533-position model. Lineage: Bacteria; Pseudomonadati; Pseudomonadota; Betaproteobacteria; Neisseriales; Neisseriaceae. The record is from RNAcentral.
AUUGAACGCUGGCGGCAUGCUUUACACAUGCAAGUCGGACGGCAGCACAGAGAAGCUUGCUUCUUGGGUGGCGAGUGGCGAACGGGUGAGUAACAUAUCGGAACGUACCGAGCAGUGGGGGAUAACUAAUCGAAAGAUUAGCUAAUACCGCAUAUAUUCUGAGGAAGAAAGCAGGGGACCAUUUGGCCUUGCGCUGUUUGAGCGGCCGAUAUCUGAUUAGCUAGUUGGUGGGGUAAAGGCCUACCAAGGCGACGAUCAGUAGCGGGUCUGAGAGGAUGAUCCGCCACACUGGGACUGAGACACGGCCCAGACUCCUACGGGAGGCAGCAGUGGGGAAUUUUGGACAAUGGGCGCAAGCCUGAUCCAGCCAUGCCGCGUGUCUGAAGAAGGCCUUCGGGUUGUAAAGGACUUUUGUCAGGGAAGAAAAGGGCGGGGUUAAUACCCCUGUCUGAUGA